RNAcentral lists this ribosomal RNA (358 nucleotides) under uncultured bacterium. Its description in RNAcentral is "bacterial SSU rRNA". It matches the Rfam family "Bacterial small subunit ribosomal RNA", at positions 917 to 1271 of the family's 1533-position model. The record is from RNAcentral.
GGGCCUGCACAAGCGGUGGAGUAUGUGGCUUAAUUCGAUGCAACGCGAAGAACCUUACCUGGCCUUGACAUGCAUCUCUAAGCGUGUGAAAGCACGUGACCCCUCGGGGAAUUUGCACAGGUGCUGCAUGGCUGUCGUCAGCUCGUGUCGUGAGAUGUUGGUUAAGUCCCGCAACGAGCGCAACCCUUGUGUCCUGUUGCCACUUCCGCUAGCGCGGAAAGCACUCUGGACAGACUGCCUCGUCUCAACGAGGAGGAAGGUGGGGAUGACGUCAAGUCAGUAUGGCCCUUACGGCCAGGGCUGCACACGUACUACAAUGCCUGGUACAAUGGGAAGCAAUACCGUGAGGUGGAGCAAA